RNAcentral lists this small RNA (28 nucleotides) under Bombyx mori (domestic silkworm). RNAcentral's name for it is "ovarian small RNA-2572". The record is from RNAcentral. Lineage: Eukaryota; Metazoa; Arthropoda; Insecta; Lepidoptera; Bombycidae.
CAGUGGCCAAACGAAGCGUUGUGCAACG